This 470-nucleotide ribosomal RNA is filed under the name uncultured bacterium. Its description in RNAcentral is "bacterial SSU rRNA". It matches the Rfam family "Bacterial small subunit ribosomal RNA", at positions 29 to 506 of the family's 1533-position model. The record is from RNAcentral.
ACGAACGCUGGCGGCGUGCUUAACACAUGCAAGUCGAACGAUGAGGGGGAGCUUGCUUCCUGGAUUAGUGGCGAACGGGUGAGUAACACGUGAGUAACCUGCCCUUGACUCUGGGAUAAGCGUUGGAAACGACGUCUAAUACCGGAUAUGACCUGUGACGGCAUCGUCUGCAGGUGGAAAGAAUUUUGGUCAAGGAUGGACUCGCGGCCUAUCAGGUAGUUGGUGAGGUAACGGCUCACCAAGCCGACGACGGGUAGCCGGCCUGAGAGGGUGACCGGCCACACUGGGACUGAGACACGGCCCAGACUCCUACGGGAGGCAGCAGUGGGGAAUAUUGCACAAUGGGCGAAAGCCUGAUGCAGCAACGCCGCGUGAGGGACGACGGCCUUCGGGUUGUAAACCUCUUUUAGUUGGGAAGAAGGGAGCUUGCUCUUGACGGUACCAGCAGAAAAAGCACCGGCUAACUACGU